Molecule: long non-coding RNA, 819 nt
Organism: Pseudophryne corroboree (corroboree frog)
Lineage: Eukaryota; Metazoa; Chordata; Amphibia; Anura; Myobatrachidae
Exons: 3
Source: RefSeq, a predicted model, not a curated record
AGGGUACAGCAUACCUAGAAUCACUCUCUGAACAGAAAGCCAUUCAAGACAUGGAACAGCAGCAGCAGUGUGUAUAACUGAUGUUUUCCAAAGAAGGCAUGAUAGCUCAAGCAAUCUUCUGUGGAUACAACAGUACACCUUUCAUUCAGGAUGAAAGUCCACAACAACACUUAGCUUGGAGACUCAGUUCCACCAGUUUCUCCUGUGUUUUUGCCUCGUUGUCAGUCUCCUCAGUCACUCCACUGUCACUCACUGUCGCAAAAGCAAGAUUGCAGGAGACCGGACUCCCGCAGAUGAAGAGAAUGGGAUACGUCUGUAUGUCCGCCUGCUGCAGUCAGCUGACCCGGAUGACUGUCUGAUGGAAAGAGCACCCAACUUUCUCCUCACUGCUGUCCUGUGUUCCUGGUUCUGGACCUAUUGAAGUUGGUCUAUUUAAAAGCUAACAGUUUUGCCAGGUAUAAGAUAGUGUACUUGAUUGUACCGUACAGCGCCGGUUUUUUAUAUGUUGUUGAAAAUUGUAUGUAUAAAGGAAUAGGUGUUUGCCUUUUUUAAUUAACCAGCUGCUGGAGUGGUAAUAAUAGGAGCGCACGGUGAGGACAAAAACCUUUCUUGCAACUUUAAUUGACUGUGUUCCCCCUUUCUUUUACAGUGUGAGUUAUUUGCAAAAAAAAGUUAAAAUAAAUAUUAUAAAAAUGUUUUUGUACAACUGAUGUGUGGGGUAGGUGCCCCCACUGUCUUUCCAUAUCAUAUACAGUAAACACUGUGACUCUGCAGGCUGUACUUUACUGUGUUCACAUAAUAUACAGUAUAAGUACUGUG